Molecule: non-coding RNA, 329 nt
Organism: Vicia faba (fava bean)
Lineage: Eukaryota; Viridiplantae; Streptophyta; Magnoliopsida; Fabales; Fabaceae
Source: the annotation of a GenBank genome assembly
AACCAUUUGUUCUAGAUAACCCAUCACCUUCAGUAACAAAAACUCUCCAAAAAUUAGCAACAAUCUUCAUCCAAGUUUCAACUUUGUCCAUCAUUACAGAAGCAAACAACAAUAAACACCGAUGCCGUAACCUGCAUAAUAUACAAAACAAUAUACAGCUGCUGCUGUCUCAAGCCAAAAAAAAAAACCUUGAAAAUAAUCUUGGAACCAGAUCCUUCAACAUCGCAUCUUCGCCAAUCACAACCUUAACCUCAGCAACACACUGCCUUAACAACAACAAUCUCGAUCAUGCUCUUUCAAAUCUUGUACUUCGUGCUACAAAAUCAAGA